Anopheles merus is the source of this 438-nucleotide long non-coding RNA. RefSeq lists it as uncharacterized. Lineage: Eukaryota; Metazoa; Arthropoda; Insecta; Diptera; Culicidae. The record is from RefSeq and is a predicted model, not a curated record. The transcript is spliced from 2 exons.
ACAAUUCUUCAAGCAAAAAACAAAUGGCGAAUUUGGCCUUUCGGUGCAACAAUGAAGAAGAUGGGAGGUUUAGCUGUGUUGGUUCGGUCUCAGCACACACCACCACGGGUUAUGUCAUCUGCGCUUUUUUCCGAUGUGUAGUAGCUGGGGCUGGGGCAGCUUGAUCUUCGGCAGUACCAAAAACAAACGCGCGUGCACAACUCACGCACGAUCGUGUGCUGCUACCGAAGUGUUUACAGCUGUGUGCCAUCUUGAAAUGGUCACACCAAAAAACUGUUGGAGCUUUGCGGGAAUGAUUGGACUACUUGGAUUGUAAAAUUGCAAAAAAAAAACUCCAAGCACCUAGAUGUCGAUGAUGGAGCCCAUCUUUUAUUUAGUCCACUAUUUGGACCGGAUGACGGAAACGACCACCCGUGCCUGAAGCUCACGGGAACCAGG